RNAcentral lists this transfer RNA (87 nucleotides) under Desulfatibacillum sp. RNAcentral describes it as "tRNA-Leu". It matches the Rfam family "tRNA". From Rfam's summary of the family: Transfer RNA (tRNA) molecules are approximately 80 nucleotides in length. Their secondary structure includes four short double-helical elements and three loops (D, anti-codon, and T loops). Lineage: Bacteria; Pseudomonadati; Thermodesulfobacteriota; Desulfobacteria; Desulfobacterales; Desulfatibacillaceae. The record is from RNAcentral.
GCCGAAGUGGCGGAAUUGGUAGACGCGCUAGGUUCAGGGUCUAGUCCGCGAAUGCGGGUGGGAGUUCGAGUCUCCCCUUCGGCACCA